This 47-nucleotide non-coding RNA is filed under the name uncultured Paraprevotella sp. Lineage: Bacteria; Pseudomonadati; Bacteroidota; Bacteroidia; Bacteroidales; Prevotellaceae. The record is from RNAcentral.
GUUAUGAUUUGCUUUUAUUUUAGUAUCUUUGAACCAUUGAAAACAAC